UUGACGGGGGCCCGCACAAGCGGUGGAGCAUUGUGGGUUUAAUUCGAAGCAACGCGAAGAACCUUACCAGGUCUUGACAUCCCGAUGCUAUUUCUAGAGAUAGAAAGUUACUUCGGUACAUCGGUGACAGGUGGUGCAUGGUUGUCGUCAGCUCGUGUCGUGAGAUGUUGGGUUAAGUCCCGCAACGAGCGCAACCCCUAUUGUUAGUUGCCAUCAUUCAGUUGGGCACUCUAGCGAGACUGCCGGUAAUAAACCGGAGGAAGGUGGGGAUGACGUCAAAUCAUCAUGCCCCUUAUGACCUGGGCUACGCACGUGCUACAAUGGUUGGUACAACGAGUUGCGAGUCGGUGACGGCGAGCUAAUCUCUUAAAGCCAAUCUCAGUUCGGAUUGUAGGCUGCAACUCGCCUACAUGAAGUCGGAAUCGCUAGUAAUCGCGGAUCAGCACGCCGCGGUGAAUACGUUCCCGGGCCUU
This 473-nucleotide ribosomal RNA is filed under the name uncultured Streptococcus sp. RNAcentral describes it as "bacterial SSU rRNA". It matches the Rfam family "Bacterial small subunit ribosomal RNA", at positions 910 to 1382 of the family's 1533-position model. Lineage: Bacteria; Bacillati; Bacillota; Bacilli; Lactobacillales; Streptococcaceae. The record is from RNAcentral.